RNAcentral lists this transfer RNA (76 nucleotides) under compost metagenome. RNAcentral's name for it is "tRNA-Gly". It matches the Rfam family "tRNA". Rfam says of the family: Transfer RNA (tRNA) molecules are approximately 80 nucleotides in length. The record is from RNAcentral.
GCGAACUUGGUGUUUAACGGUAGCAUCUCUGCCUUCCAAGCAGAAGGAGCGGGUUCGAUUCCCGUAGUUCGCUCCA